Molecule: long non-coding RNA, 761 nt
Filed under: Vitis vinifera (wine grape)
Lineage: Eukaryota; Viridiplantae; Streptophyta; Magnoliopsida; Vitales; Vitaceae
Description: long non-coding RNA (VVIN_LNC001724)
Source: RNAcentral
AACAAAUGAGAUGCAUUGGGGGUCCGGCCAUCCCAUGGCGUGGGCAGUGUUGAGGCACUCACAAGAAAAUAAUGGCAGAGUACUUAAAAAUUGAUCAUGGAUGCAAUGAUAACAGAGAAGAAGUCAACCAACAAUGAGGAGAAACCCAGAUUCCUAAUCUUAUCAUUCAGUAAGUAAUGGCAUAGGAUUCCCGAGCACUUUUAACAAACAUACCAUAAGUUUCAAGAUUAGAUAUGAUUGCUAGACAUGUACCACUUAAGAAAUGCUUCUUCAUGCUUGAAAGCCCCCUACCACUAAGCUCCAACUUCUCUGUUCAAUUCCGCAAGCACCGGCUUCUGUCGAAGAUGGGGAGAAGACAGACCCUCUUCGCUCUCCUCUUAGCAUGCCUCCUGCUUGCUGCUUCUCCGCACCGUUACUCUGCUGCUACCAAGGUUCAAGGUAUGAAAUCAGGCAACCACGAAAACUUCUCUUCAUAUUAAUACAAUAAUUCUUUUCACUGGCAUAAUCUCUACAACUUAUUUUGUACGAAAUAUCACGGAAAAGAAGAGAGCUAGACACUCUAGUAUUUUCUAGCAACUAGAAGUUCUGAUAGAUCUUACCUCUAUUGCUGCCACUAGCUGGUUCCAAACCCAGAGAAGCGUCGGCAUCGGCAGCUGCGGCGGCAGGAUUCAGUUUUGCUACUUCGGUAUGUAUGAAAAGUACUCUUUUCCAGGCCAAUAUUCUCUUUUAGUUACCAUAAAUGGCUUAUACCUGAAUUUUGU